AGUGAACGCUGGCGGUAGGCCUAACACAUGCAAGUCGAACGGCAGCACAGUAAGAGCUUGCUCUUACGGGUGGCGAGUGGCGGACGGGUGAGGCAUACAUCGGAAUCUACUUUUUCGUGGGGGAUAACGUAGGGAAACUUACGCUACUACCUCAUACGACCUACGGGUGAAAGCAUGGUAUCUUCGGUCCUUGCGCGAUUGAAUGAGCCGAUGUCGGAUGAGCUAGUUGGCGGGGUAAAGGCCCACCAAGGCGACGAUCCGUAGCUGGUCUGAGAGGAUGAUGAGCGACACGGGAACUGAGACACGGGCCAGACGCCUGAGGGAGGCAGCAGUGGGGAAUAUUGGACAAUGGGCGCAAGACUGAACCAGCAAUACCGCGUGGGUGAAGAAGGCCUUCGGGUUGUAAAGCCCUUUUGUUGGGAAAGAAAAGCAGCAGGUUAAUACCCCGCUGUGCUGACGGUACCCAAAGAAUAAGCACCGGCUAACUUCGUG
Molecule: ribosomal RNA, 492 nt
Filed under: uncultured bacterium
Lineage: Bacteria
Description: partial 16S ribosomal RNA
Rfam family: Bacterial small subunit ribosomal RNA
Source: RNAcentral